AGCCCUGGCAGUACGCCUUGCCUUUUCACGGCACAUCCACUACAGCCUUUCCCACACUGUGACACUGGAGCCGGUGAGUCAGAUGCAUGGCAUGGGAAGCCCUCUCUAGGAGGAUGCUGUGGCCACACAAGCGCUGGACGAACCGCUGGAGUUGAAGAUUAUUCUCUCUUCUAAAGAAAGUAGAAGGAUAUUAGGAGAAUAGACACUUUAAAAUGUUCACUCUUUUAUUCACAUUACAUCAUCUGUCUUGAAUAAUGGGUCUAUCUCUUUCCUGUUGCUCUGGCCCUGAAAAAAAAAAAAUCAGCUUUUUAAGCCUGCUUUUGUUACGUGUGCAUUUUCUUGUAAUCCCAUCAUUCUGGGAUUUAAUAAUAAUAGUAUUAAUACCACCUACCAUUUGUUGGUUACUUACUGUGUUUUAGGCACUGUGCUAAACGCCUUCCACAUAUUCAUCUCAUUAGUAAACAUUUCUGAAACUAUUCUUACAA
Molecule: small RNA, 485 nt
Filed under: Pongo abelii (Sumatran orangutan)
Lineage: Eukaryota; Metazoa; Chordata; Mammalia; Primates; Hominidae
Description: processed transcript
Source: RNAcentral